Molecule: long non-coding RNA, 466 nt
Organism: Cynoglossus semilaevis (tongue sole)
Lineage: Eukaryota; Metazoa; Chordata; Actinopteri; Pleuronectiformes; Cynoglossidae
Exons: 3
Source: RefSeq, a predicted model, not a curated record
GAGUACUGUAUAUACAUACCUAAAUAUACUCUUUCUUUUCAUGGUCCCUGGCUAUGUGUCGAGAGAAGAAGGAAGAACAGAGCCUUCAUUGUCAGUGAUGUCAUACCCUCACCCUCACUACCUCUCACCAGCCCUCACCUCGCACUCCCUCCCCUGCUGUGGUUCCAGCAGCACUUGCAGGUGUUCAGAUCAAGCUUCCAGAAGAUGAAACCAGCACCAUGGGUUAUGGUGAAAGGCUGUGAUAGCUGUGAGAGUCAGGGCAGAGCAGAGAGGAGCAGAGAACACUUCAGCAUCUGAUGGGUUGUGAAGACGGAGAGAGGAGGGAGCCUGCAGAGAGCAGCUUCCUGAAGGACCUGUUGGUGCUCCACACCGCUCCUUAUCACCACAGCCAACAUAUGUCCUGAUGCCAAGCCAGGGGUUUGUGUGUGUGUGUGUGUGUGUGUGUGUAUGUGUGUACUGAUAGGGG